AUUUUCUUGUCUCAAAGAUUAAGCCAUGCAUGUCUAAGUAUAAGCAACUAUACAGUGAAACUGCGAAUGGCUCAUUAAAUCAGUUAUCGUUUAUUUGAUAGUACCUUACUACUUGGAUAACCGUGGUAAUUCUAGAGCUAAUACAUGCUAAAAAUCCCGACCUCUGGAAGGGAUGUAUUUAUUAGAUAAAAAACCAAUGCCUUCGGGCUCCUUGGUGAUUCAUGAUAACUUAACGAAUCGCAUGGCCUUGCGCCGGCGAUGGUUCAUUCAAAUUUCUGCCCUAUCAACUUUCGAUGGUAGGAUAGUGGCCUACCAUGGUUUCAACGGGUAACGGGGAAUUAGGGUUCGAUUCCGGAGAGGGAGCCUGAGAAACGGCUACCACAUCCAAGGAAGGCAGCAGGCGCGCAAAUUACCCAAUCCCGAUUCGGGGAGGUAGUGACAAUAAAUACUGAUACAGGGCUCUUUUGGGUCUUGUAAUUGGAAUGAGUACAAUUUAAAUCCCUUAACGAGGAACAAUUGGAGGGCAAGUCUGCCCC
RNAcentral lists this ribosomal RNA (536 nucleotides) under Arthrobotrys musiformis. RNAcentral's name for it is "SSU rRNA". It matches the Rfam family "Eukaryotic small subunit ribosomal RNA", at positions 31 to 567 of the family's 1831-position model. The record is from RNAcentral. Lineage: Eukaryota; Fungi; Ascomycota; Orbiliomycetes; Orbiliales; Orbiliaceae.